UACGUAGGGGGCUAGCGUUGUCCGGAAUCAUUGGGCGUAAAGCGCGUGUAGGCGGCUCGGUAAGUCCGCUGUGAAAGUCGGGGGCUCAACCCUCGGAUGCCGGUGGAUACUGUCGGGCUAGAGUACGGAAGAGGCGAGUGGAAUUCCUGGUGUAGCGGUGAAAUGCGCAGAUAUCGGGAAGAACACCCGUGGCGAAGGCGGCUCUCUGGGACGGUACUGACGCUGAGACGCGAAAGCGUGGGGAGCGAACAGG
This 253-nucleotide ribosomal RNA is filed under the name uncultured bacterium. RNAcentral's name for it is "partial 16S ribosomal RNA". It matches the Rfam family "Bacterial small subunit ribosomal RNA", at positions 524 to 776 of the family's 1533-position model. The record is from RNAcentral.